UACGUAGGGGGCAAGCGUUGUCCGGAUUUAUUGGGCGUAAAGAGCGUGUAGGCGGCCGCACAGGUCCGUUGUGAAAACUGGAGGCUUAACCUUCAGACGUCGAUGGAAACCGUGCGGCUAGAGUCCGGAAGAGGAGAGUGGAAUUCCUGGUGUAGCGGUGAAAUGCGCAGAUAUCAGGAAGAACACCCGUGGCGAAGGCGGCUCUCUGGGACGGUACUGACGCUGAUGCGCGAAAGCGUGGGGAGCAAACAGG
Molecule: ribosomal RNA, 253 nt
Filed under: uncultured bacterium
Lineage: Bacteria
Description: partial 16S ribosomal RNA
Rfam family: Bacterial small subunit ribosomal RNA
Source: RNAcentral